UACGGGGGGAGCAAGCGUUGUUCGGAUUUACUGGGCGUAAAGGGCGCGUAGGCGGCCUCCGCAAGUCACUUGUGAAAUCUCUGAGCUUAACUCAGAACGGCCAAGUGAAACUGUUGUGCUAGAGUGCAGAAGGGGCAAUCGGAAUUCUUGGUGUAGCGGUGAAAUGCGUAGAUAUCAAGAGGAACACCUGAGGUGAAGACGGGUUGCUGGGCCAACACUGACGCUCAUGCACGAAAGCGUGGGGAGCAAACAGG
RNAcentral lists this ribosomal RNA (254 nucleotides) under uncultured bacterium. RNAcentral describes it as "partial 16S ribosomal RNA". It matches the Rfam family "Bacterial small subunit ribosomal RNA", at positions 524 to 776 of the family's 1533-position model. The record is from RNAcentral.